This 6867-nucleotide long non-coding RNA is filed under the name Ornithorhynchus anatinus (platypus). RNAcentral describes it as "lncRNA (ENSOANG00000040517.1)". The record is from RNAcentral. Lineage: Eukaryota; Metazoa; Chordata; Mammalia; Monotremata; Ornithorhynchidae.
CAAGGGGAUAUGCUUGCUGGCUUCCAUCCCCCAAAUCCUGUCAACCUGGGCGUUCUCUUUCAGCCUCCCGAUGUUCAGACAGAUGUCAAGGGAGCAGUAUGCCUGAAGGCAGAGAAGAGUCUCAGACCUGGGAUAUCAACACUGAAUCUGGAAGGAGCCAUGAACUCAAAAGUGCCUGAUGUGGCAGAAAAACAAACCAGUCGUGUUCCAGAAGGAAGAAAGCAAAGACAUAAGGAUAAAAACUGCCUCUCUGAGAAGAAGGAUCCAUGGCUGUCCUGCAGGAGGUCCCUGGAGAGCCCAAACCCACAGUUGCAAGGAUGCGAUGAGGAACAAAGUGAAUCUAGAGACAACCACAGUGUGACUGAUCCCAAAGAACAAAUCCCGAGCCAGAACUUGGGGAAUGAUGGCUGCGAAAGCAAAGAAACUGGUGAGGAAUAUCGUGUUCUCCCACAAUAUUCUGAGGAAGUAUGCCUUUUAAAAUUGAAUGAAGAUUCAAAUCGUGUCUUCACCAAGUCAAGAAUGGAUGAAAAUAAGCUUCUUUCAAAUCAUGAACUACUUCCUAGAGACAAUGAAUUUGAGACCCGAAGUGUUCAAAAAAAUGAACCUGAAAAAGGCUUCCUCCCCUUAGCACUGAAGGGGAGCCAAAUAUUAGUUAAAAGUGAACCGGUUAUAAAGGGAAGAAGUCAACGAUUACCUACAGAAGAGGAAGACUUUUGCUCUCAACAGAAGGUUAAUGACAGCCAUAUAAAUCAAGAAAGGUCUGUGCUGAAUUCAGAUGGCAUCAGAAACCCCACAUCUCAACCACCGGAGCCGGAAAGGACGCUAACCCAAGAGCAGAGGAUAAAGGAGAGCUGGAAGGAAGAACUUGGCAUCCUGAGCAUUGAACAGAAAAGUGCCCAGAUCUGCAAAAUCUUUUCCCUCCAAGAUAGUUCAAUGAUCAAAGAAAAGGAAGAAAAGGAAGAAGACCUGGCCCAUUGUGAGAAGAGUGGCACUGGAGGAAAUAACUUACCUAUACUUCUGGAUUUGGCCAUGUUGGCCUCCUCCGAGGAAGGGUCUGCACUAAGAACCUAUGCAGAAGACCUUACUGAGGAAGUGGCAACGUCAUUCCUUAAUCCCUCCCAGGAAUUUGAAAGUGUAGAGUCAGAUUCAUCCUUUGGAUUUCAAAAGGUGUCUGCGGUCUUAAUCAACAUUUCAGAGAGCUCUUUUUCAGAGAAUGACAUAGAGCAUGAUGAGGAUACAGACCUCGACCAGUCAGAGGCAUCCACUGAUGAAGCCCAAACAUGUGAUAAGUGGUUUCCCCAUCCGCUGCCUAAGAAACACAGAGUUAGUAAUGAAGGAAACAAGUUAAUGACCAGGAAUUACUGCAGUCGACCACAGCCUGGUAGUGGGUCCAGUUACAAAACCACUCUAGGCUUGAGAAAGUUGGAAGGAAAGAGUGGUGUUAUGGAAAAUGUCUUUGCAUCUGACUCUAAUUUGGACAGUGUAGCUGGCAGGAAGAAGCAACAGGAAAGCGUAUUAUGUACAGAGUCGCCAUUGCUUCUACCUUACAAACCUACCCAGAAAGGAAAGGGAGGAUUUUCAGAAGCCUCUGAAAGAGUUUGGCAAAAGGACAAAGGAAAGAAUGUCUUUUCUGAGCAAGAUGCAGGAGCUGACUCUUCAUCUGGGACUUCCCCAUACUCGGAAAAAUUUUCUGGGCUAGUCGAAGAUUUGGAACAACAGGUUUUUCUCUCUGUUGUUGGCAGAGGAAUAGGGCAGAAAGACCUUGGAAUUGAUUUUCCAUCUGGACAGAAUAAGGAAAAAUCCAGAUGUCCUUCUCCAGAAAGCUCCUCUAUGUCACUUCAACCUAAAAAUUCCAAAGUAAAAUGCCAAGUCUUUUCAUUUCCUUUAAGAACUCUCCUGACUCCCCACAUCUUGCCAGCCUUAGAUACCAAACAUAGCUCUGGAGAAGAUCUGGGAGGAGCACCUUUUUCUGCGGACAUUAUAUCUCAAAAGACAUUAGCAACUAGGCAGUCCAUGCCCCAUAUAGCUGAACUUGAUGCAUCUGAUGCCAAAAACUUACCAACAAGGAUCGAAGAUUGUGAAAAGGAAUCUGUAACAGAGCUACCACUCUCAAAGAAAGCUAACCUAGAGCCAGUUCUUUCUAUUUCACCUAGAGAGCUCACAUCUCAUCCAAAGAACUGUUCAGCUAGGAAUGGAGAUGAUGACAGGGUUAUCCAGGGCAGAGAUCUUCCCUAUCUCAGUAAAGAUACCUUGUCUGAAAUACUGUCACCGGUUAAUGAAGUGCUUUCCUACGGAAGUGCUGACCUGCCGUCAUCCAACCAGAGAGAUUUCUCGAUUCCCAGUGAAGAACUCCCGACACCUCCUGAGGAGCAUUUUUGGACACAGAAUGACGAGACCAACUUUGACUUAGAUUUCCCUUCUCCACCAGAAGAAGUGCUGUCUUCAGAAGAUAGACAUUCACCUCAUACUCUCGCUGAAGAGUCAUCCAUUAAUACUCAAGAAAUGCCCUUGUCACCCGACGAUAUUUUGUCAGAAAAUUCGUUCCCACUGCCUCUGGAACUGGAGAACUCAUGUUGUAUUCAGGAUAGGCAUAACUUGGUCUGUGCCGGAGCCAAAGUAAAUAGUUUUGAGGAAAAGGAGGAAUCACCGCAACAUUUAAUACAGAAAGAAAGCAUCACCAGCCAGACGCAAGAAUUAACCUGUUUGUCGACUCCGUCUUUUCACCAAAAUGUCUGUAAAAGUCCAGAUGUUUUAGCAAGAUCACCAGCACCCCUUUACAAAAUUGAAGAAGACAAUAAUUCCCUGGCAAUGUAUAAUACUGGAAACGGAGUACUGGUGGAGGCCAUUGAGACUGGUACUCUGAAAUUUAAAGAGUGUCCCCAAUUUGCCCAGGACCUCAAGAUUGCUGUGGAAUUUGGUGUGAAGAAAGGUUGUGAUGGAAACCAGGAAAGAGUAGAAUGCUUGGAGGGUGCCAGGAAUUGUGAUGAGUUUGUUAGAGUAGAUCAAAUUUCACUUUUUUUGGCAGACCAAGGUGAUAAUUCAGCCUACAUUGGGGAUGAAAAUCCAUUUUCUGCCAGCGUACCCUCAGAGCACAGUAAAUGCCUUGAGGAUGACAGUUUUUUUAUGGAAAUACAACCGAAAGGAAGCUCUUCAGAAUCAGCAGAUAAUCCAUCUAGAGCAAUAGAGUCCUCAUCAGUGGGAGCAGAACGUGGUGUAACCAAUAAUCAAUCUGUGCCUAACCAAUUGACUUUUCCAGUCCCUCAAUUUUUACGCAUCAGAAAAGAAAAAAAGCCGUCGGCAUCCCCCAAGAAUGAGGAGGAAGAAUUACUUGAACAUGAUGUCCUGCCAGUGAAAGACCAGGAAAGUGACCUUAAAAAUAAUUCUGGGGAGCAGAAAGUUAACCAUAGCUUAUUCCAGAGCCAAGAAAGAGAUGAAAUUGUGGACAUUGUCUCCACUGAGCUCACCAAAAGAAUAUUAGAAGAUACUUUAGCUGUAUUUUCUGAGUUACCUAAUCAGGCCACCCAUCGCUAUGCAAAUCAGCUCGGAUAUAAAUCCAGCUGACAAGGGAAGUUCAGUAAUGGAAAUGGUACUGUCAGCAGUGUCAUCUUCAAUUACAAAGGACUACUAAAUGCAAAUGUGGUUUGCUUUGAAAAUUAAAAAAGUCAAUUCUGACAAUAGCUAAACUAAAAAGAGCUAGGCAGAAAAGGGUGUUUCUGACCUAAUAAUAAUUAUGGUACUUGUUAAGCCCUUAAUAUAUGCCAAACACUCUUCUAAAGUACCAGGGUAAAUACAAGUUAAUCAGGAUGGACACAGUCCCUGUCCCACAUUAGGGUCACAGUCCAGUCGGAGAUUAAUGUAUUAACUUGUAUCUACCCCAGCACUUAUCACAGUGCUUGGCACCUCGUAAGCAACUGUAUAAGUACCACAAUUAAUCAUUAAGGUGCUUACUGAAGAAAACCAGCUAUGUGAAUUCUUCUGAAAAAUUACAUGAAAUCUUUAUUAUCUUAUGCUUUUAAGAAGCUUAAUUCUGGGGCUUCUAAGCUAAGGAACCAAAACAGGAAACUAAUGCUGAGAGAGAUGCUAAUCCCAAAAAUCUAGAGGAAAAUGAGUAGUAAAAAAAACCCCAGAGAUUUUUUUGAGGUGUUCCACCUGUAACUGUCAAAAGUCAGAUUAUUUGGGGAGUAUAAAUUGGUCUCAACUAAACUUCUUUUCCUUGUUUGAUUACUUGUUUUUAGGAACUAUUCUGGCUCUUCCUCCUUUACAUUUAUUUUUAAUGAUCUCUCCUUACAGAGUAUAGAUUUGGUCCUUGCCAAGAAAGAUUAUGCUCUGAAACUUUUAUAGAGCAGAUCAGUAAGAGAAGAAUCCCAGCUCUGCUGCUUGCCAGCUGUGUGACUUUGGGCAAGUCACUUAACUUCUCUGUGCCUCAGUUACCUCAUCUGUAAAAUGGGGAUUAAAACUGUGAGCCCCAUGUGGGACAACCUGAUUACCUUGUAUCCCCCCAGCGCUUAGAACAGUGCUUGGCACAUAGUAAGUGCUUAACAAAUACCACCAUUAUUAUUAUUAUUAUCAAGUAACUGUAAAGCUUUACUUUUCUUUUAGUGAUUGACAAGUGAUCCCGAGUAGAAUUUCAGGAAUUGAAAAUUCAAACAUUUUCCCAUAACUCCUAGAAAUUCUGGGUUCCUGCUUCUUCAAAAAUGUCCAGAGAAAUUAGGGUUUUUGGAAGUCUAUAUUGAAUCACUUCAUAUGUAUGGUGAUUGAUUUAGGUAGCCGAAUUCUGGGAGUCAGGCAAGCUUCCCAAAUUUCUGAACAAUAUCGGCAUACUUUAGGUGGUAGUUUCUGAAGCACACAGGGAUGUCCCUUUUGAAUGAUGAAAUAAAAGAUUUACAUACUAAUGAGGAGGACAGAUGCAGGAUGAACAGUUAAUCAGAAACUUCCAGUAGCACACGGAGUGCUAAAGCCAUUUCCUAAUUAAUAAUAAAAUUACUGGCACAAACUGUACUACUUCAAGAUGUGCUUCCUGGUCAGAAAUAUAAAUUUCUAGGCCAGCCUGCUCAGACAGAAACAGCAUCCACUCUGCCAGCUGUGCAAUCAGAAACUCAUGAUUCUGGCAAGUGGGUAACUGCCACUUGCCUGCUGUGUGACCUUGGGGAAGUCACUUCACUUCAUGAUGCCUCAGUUUCCUAACCUGUAAAGUGGGGAUCCAUUAACCUAUCUUCCCUCUUAAACUUACACUGUGAUCUUCUCAUGGGACAGGAACUGUGUCUGACCUGAUUAUCUUAUAUCUACUCCAAAGCUUAGCACAGUGCUGGGCACAUAGUAAGUGCUUACCAAAUACCGUAAUUAUUAUAGUAGGCAUAGUGGGCUUCUGUCAGGGUGCUCUACAUUGAGUCUUUCUGCCUCAGUUUGCUUCUUUUGUUGGCCUUUACUGGUCUUCUUAGAAAUAAUAGUGACUGUUUCCAGUAGCAGCACAGUAAACUACAAGUGAAUCUACAGAAGUUAUCAAAGGCAGCGGGCCUGUGAAAAUCACCCUUGGGUCCAUUUCAUUCUCUACCACAUGCACUUAUGCACGUAAAGCAGGCAUUUUAUUUAUUUUUCCCCUUCCCGAGAGCCACUAGUUUCCUGGUGCAAAUGAUUAGACAGAGGUACUAGGAAAUUGCUGUUGAUUCAAAAAUAUAAAAGGAUUUCCUGUGAGAGUCAGGAGAUGAUUAAUUGAGAGAACCAAUAUACCCAUUUAAAGAAAAAUCUUAAAACCUUCAAUCAGGUAGUGGCAUAUUGCAGUUCUUCAUAUUCAAAGAUGACCCUGAGCAUGGUAUUAGCGUUGAAGUACAGGAUGGCCCAUUUGAAGCUAUUAAGUGAAUAUGAAUAAAUGAAUGAUCGUUGACUGGGCCAGAGUUAUCUGAACAGGUGCAAGCAGAAAGAUAGGAGAAAGAGUUAAUUGAUAGAGCUUUUGUGAUUGUAAACUGGAGUUUCGUAUGCUUGUGUCAGAGCCUGUUUGGAGAGGGAAAAAUACACUUAUUCAUCUGCAGACCAUUUGUGGUUUUUCGGUGCAGUUUAUGCCUUACUUGAAUUUCUAAUUUCAUACCACAAAAUUGGAAUCAGUGAGAGGGAUAUAGUUUAGCAGAAAGAUUGCAGGACUGGAAAUUAGAGGAACUAUGUUCUAUCCUUGUUCCUUCCCGUAACUUGUCGGGCCCUUUCCUCUUUUUGCACCUGUUCCCCAGUAUGUAAAUUGGGGAUGGAAAUCCCUGCUCCUCCCAGUCUCCUGGGCAAUUUAUGUGAAAUGCCUUGAACUCUUUGGGAAAAAGUCAAAGCAAUAUUAUUAGUGACCAGAAGCAUCAUUGAAUCAGUGCUUUGUUUAUAGAUGAUUUGUUGCUUAGCAUUAGAUUAAACUUUCUCAAUAUGAAUCACUUAUGACUCAUAAAAUCAUUUAGGUAAUCAAUAUAUUUAAAGAUCCAAGUACGUUUUAUUUAGUAUCAGAUAAAGUCACAGAAUGAGUUGUAAAAAUACACAAAGAUUGAAGUGUGUCUGUUGAGUUUAAAAUCCUCAACUUUUGGGUUAUUUCAUUUAAAACGCUGUCAAAUUUAAGAGCUUUUCUGUGUGGUUAAAAUUUCAAAAUACAGAAAUUUUGCAUUACCCUUUUCAUAUUGAUUUGUAUCUAGUUUUCUGGACAAAUUAGUCUUUUUUUAAUUUUUCUAUUUAUUGCUGACUCCUUGUUUUCUGGACAAAUUAGUCUGUAAUUUUUUAUUCGUCUCUGGCUUCUCUGGAUUUAUGGUAUUAUGUAGAAAAGAAUUAUGUAUUUUCACUCACACUACUUGGCACUGUAAUAAAUCUAUGAUAUUAAAAACUGCACCUAUCCCUCUCAAGUUCAAU